AACGAACGCUGGCGGCGCGCCUAAUACAUGCAAGUCGAGCGAGAAGACGUAGCAAUACGUUUGUAAAGCGGCGAACGGGUGAGGAAUACAUGGGUAACCUACCCUCGAGUGGGGAAUAACUAGCCGAAAGGUUAGCUAAUACCGCGUACGCUCCUUGGACUUCGGUUCAGGGAGGAAAGCGAUACCGUGGGUAUCGCGCUCUUGGAUGGGCUCAUGUCCUAUCAGCUUGUUGGUGAGGUAACGGCUCACCAAGGCUUCGACGGGUAGCUGGUCUGAGAGGACGAUCAGCCACACUGGCACUGCGACACGGGCCAGACUCCUACGGGAGGCAGCAGUAAGGAUAUUGCGCAAUGGGCGAAAGCCUGACGCAG
Molecule: ribosomal RNA, 371 nt
Filed under: uncultured bacterium
Lineage: Bacteria
Description: bacterial SSU rRNA
Rfam family: Bacterial small subunit ribosomal RNA
Source: RNAcentral